GGUGCUCACGCACACUUGGCUCCAGAGCAAAUCAUUGUGUGUGCCCUUUGACGUGAGAGCUGUGCCAACCUCCUGCUCCCUUCUCUCUCCUCUUCCCUCUUCCCUGCCCUCUCACCCACCUUUUUUCUCAUUUCUCAUGUGAACUAGCAACCACUCUAACACAGAGAGAUGGCUCAGCAACAACAUUCAUUUUUGCAUUAAAAAAAGAAGAAGAAACGUUUUGGCUGCGGGGUAAGUACCGGCGUAUGAAGCCUGGGAACCCAUGUUAAAGCCACAGACAGCAGCAAACUGUCACCUCAGCACUUUUGAGGCCAGACGGGAAGCAGUAAAAAGAGAGGCCUAGAAACUGGGGGCCAGAUAGCUUGGUGCGCAAGGCAAUAAAGAACUAGAAACUGUCUCAGACAAGAUGGGUUGGACAUAUUAUACUUGAGGUAACCUCUGACCUCCACAUGCUUUCCGUCUGUCUGUGUCUGUCUGUCUGUUUCUCUCUCUCUCUCUCUCUCUCUCUCUCUCUCUUUCUCUCUCUCUCAUGCCCUUAUACAUAUAUUUAUGCAUCAUAUAUAAACGAAUACUUUUCCAAAACUAGAUGUUGUGGUUUAUUCUUACAACCCUGUCCAGGAGAUGGAGGCCAGAGGAUUAUAUCCAUCCUCCAAUAUAGACCAGCCUGGGAUACAUGAGAUCUUGUCUCAAAAAAAAAAAAGAUUUUUAAAAUAAUUGUUUUCUCCCCACUGAAGACUAGAAUGUGGUUUUACGGAGACCCUAAAGCUGCCUGUUGCAGCAAGGGUGUGCGGAAGCCCCAGAGGAGAGCAGGAACUUCAGGGGACUUCUGCACUGUCAGCAGUUCCCUCCUGCUUGUGGCUCUGGUCAAGUCACAGCACUUCUUCCAACUCUUGAGGGUGGAAGAUGGAACUCCUUAGACCUGACCUCUGUUGAAGUGUCUCUGUGUGCUGCUGGAAGUUUCCAGGGCCAGUAGACACAUGUACGAAUGUAUCUUGCACCUAUCUGAACUUCUGUCGCUUCAUCUGAGGAAUGUGUAACUUUGCUGGGGUGGGGGGUACCUUAGAACACAAACUCAGGCCUUAUACCCAAGCAUGCUGGGGUGCCAGGAAGCCUUUUGCCGAGUAGUGGAUACCUGCACCCAUCUAUGAAAGACCAGGACCCUCUUCUUGCAGGACUUUUCUUAAUGAUGUCUGCAGUCUCUAUGGAGAUUCUCUGUCUCCUGAUCUCUCAUUCAGUUCUCUUGAUUCUUGCCAUCUGUUGGGCUGGGCAGCCCCCACCCUCACCCUUUGAGAAGGUCUUGCUAUCAUGAAAUCAUUUCUAAAAAGAAGAGUGAAUGCAGGCACUCUGGAUGCAUGACUGUGUGAGAGGAUAUCCUUAGUGCGCGCGCGCGUGUGUGUGUGUGUGUGUGUGUGUGUGUGUGUGUGUGUGUGUUUGCAUAUGGAGGCCAGAGGUUGAUGUUGGAUGUCUUUAGCUACUGUGCUCUCCCCUACCCCCUCUCACUCUGCUUUAGUUUUUGAGACAUGGUCUCUCACCAAGCUAGAGCUAUGUUCAGCUCCACUCAGUGAGGCUGCCUGCGCAGAGAGCCCUCGGGAUCUUCUUCUCUCCUUUGCCCAUGAAACACUGGUGCUCCUGACACUCAAGCCUUCCUGCUUGCCAGGCAGGCACUUUGCCCCCCUCCUGCACCUACCCCCCCCCCAAAGCCAUCCUCUCAGCCUCUGCUUUUUCAUUUUUAUUUUUAAAGUGUUUCUUGUAGCCUAGGCUGACCUGGAACUUGAACUCACUGUGUAGCCGAGGAUAGCCUUGACCUUCUGAUCUUCCUCUUCCCAUCACCCCGGUGCUGUCAUUACAGCUAUGAACCGCCAUGCUUGGUUUACAUGAGUCUGGGGAGCUGACCCAGGGCUUCAUAUCUGCGAGGAAAGCACUCUGACUGAGCUAGAUCCCUAAGCCCACACACUUACCUUUUAAUUUUCACUAUUAUAGUUUUAUAUUAUGGGUGUGUGUGUGUGCAUAUGGAAGUCAGAAGGCAACUGGUGAAGUCUCUCUUCUUCCUCUGUGUCUCAGAGAACAAACUCUUAAAGGAGCUUUGAUAGCAAGCUCCUUUACCCACUGAGCCAAGCCUUUUUUUUUUUUUUUUAAUUUGGGAGUGAAUGCCACUGGGGUCUAGCCUUCACUAUUGCCACUGGGGUCUAGCCUUCACUAUUGUUGAGCGGAUUUCCUCUUAUCUCUCCUGUCCCUACUGGAGAUGCUAAUUUGCGCCUUUUUGCCUUUCUAUCCUUGUUUCCUAGACCUCGGAGAUUAUAUUUCAGGAAGCUGGGUGAGGAGAUUCAAAAGAAAACUCUGUGGUAAGCAAGAAGCAUGAAGCCCCAAGGCUAUAGGGGAGCAGAGACAAUGGAAGGUGAAAAGGGAAACCAGCCGCGGAGAAGGGAACCCUGCACAUCCUAAAGGAGAAAGUGAAGAUAGCAGUAGAGACUGAGAGUUAGAGCCAGGUGGAACCAGGAAGCUGCUCCAAGAAGCUGAAGGCAGGGUCUCAAAUAGAACUCUUUAAGUUGUCCUGACCUUGAAUUAUAAAAACUGCCCAGUCAGUGAAUAUGAAGGUAUUGAACUCCUCCUGUGUUUUAAGUCCCAGGGACACUGCCCUUAGUAAGUCUGUCCCCAGAGCUGUGCUGUCAGGGUCAGGGCCUGGACUCUGGCAGCCCCAACCCAAGCCUGGGUUUAGCCACCAUCCUCCAUAGGUCAGCUAAACAAGUCACUAUGGGAAGCAGAGAAGAAGGUCACUGACCCCACGAGUCUAACUUCAGGGUCCCAACAUGAGGUUUAGGUUUAAAUAGAGAGCAAAAGGCACACAGGGCUUCGUGUUCCUAGUCUUAAUACUAUCCCUCUGAUUAUGACCUUCUAGCAUUUUCUGGGCUUCUGUCUCUCCUGCAAGGUGGACUGGUGAGUUGCUCACACUGUGUGAAAGGGAGAAGAAGCAGAUUGAAAAUCAGGACUUAGCACAGAGCCCAACAUUCCGAAUAAGGCAAGUUCUAGAAGAAGGCCACAGCCCUGGAGUCACCGAGGUGUCCUACAGACUGAUGAGCGCUAUAAAUAGAAGCCCUAAGGAAUGACAGGAAGCCAGUAGCCAAACACACCCAAAGAGAAAAACUGGCUGGGGUAUGUUCAGGUGUCUGUGCGCCACUGGAAUGCUAGGAGAGCUAUCUGAAGACCCCUUCUCUAGUUCCUGGUAGGAUAUGGGACACUAAGCUUUUACAUGGACUUAUAUUUGUGCUGGACCCUAUCAGCUUGGUGAGUAAACCUUUGCAUAGAUGCAUGUGAGUGUCAUUAAUGUUAGUUCUCAGAAAUGUAUGGCAAUCUUUCCUCUUUCUUCUCCUCUUAGAUUUGCUUUAGGAAUUACUAUACAGUUUACUUAAGACACCUCUUGCUACAUCUUAGCCAAGAGAAGGGUCCCCUUAGAUAAAGAAGACCCCAGAUGUUGGCAUGACUCACUAGGAGUAGGCUAGCUCUACCUUUCUUCUUCCUCUUUUUGUCUCUCCCUUCCUUCCACCGGACUCCCUGACCAUUGUAGGGUCAAGUCUACAAUGAUAGGUAUUAUCAAUUGUUGUUGGUUCCAUAUGGCCCACUCCUGCCUGCUACCCUGCCAACCCCCAGGAGGUCGGUGCCUACAGGCUUGGCAACUUCUUGCAUGGCUCAGAGUUUAGCUACUGCCUUAGAGUCUUGAGUGUCCUCAUUCAACAAAAGUCCACGAAUCUCAGCUGGUCAGGGGCACCUCUUAUUUUAAGGCAAAAGGACUUGUGGUAUAUUUUGAGAAGGUUUCUUGCUUUUCCUACUAGUGUUGCUGCUGGCUUCCUAGUAAUUUCUUCUUGGGAAGAUAGGUCAAGAGACUCAAGGACUCACUAAAAGAGCAGUUUGUUCUAGAGCUUUCAGAAUCUUGGUUCAAUUUUUUUUUCUUUUCUUAAAAUUUUUUAUUUUAUGGGUAUGGGUAUUUUGUUGCAUGUAUAUCUUUAUGACAUGCAUGCCUGGUACCUGCUGAAGACAAAGGAGGGUAUUAGGUCCCUUGGAACUGGAGUCAUAGAUGGUUGUGAGCCACCAUAUGGGAACUGAACCAGGUCCUUUCCACGAACAUCAAGUGCUCUUAACUGUCAAGUAACUCCCUAGCCUCCCUUGGGUCAAUUUUAAGAAUGUCUCUUUAAAACAUUUUUUAACGUAUGUGUACACAUGUACAUAUGUGGAUGAGUACAUGUAUGUUUACAUGUGCACCAUAGGGUACUUAUGGAUGUCAGAGGACAACGACAUGCAGCGAACAGGAGCUAGUAUUCUCCCACUGUAUGGGUCCUAAAGUUUGUCAACAGAUGGUCAUCCACUGAGCCAUCUCCUUGCUCUCCAGUUACAAACAAACAAACAAACAAACAAACCAACCCCCAAAAUAGACUAGUAUUCUCUAAGGUGACAUGCAUUUGCAAAAGGCCAGUCAUAUUAUUAGCAAUGCCACUCAAUUUAUCAGUUGUAUGUAUGGUCACUCUUCGUCGUCAACUUGAAUGGAUCUCUAGGAGACACAGGUCUGGACAUAGCUGUGAGGACAUCUUCAGAGAAGAUUUAACUGAACAGGGAAGACCCACACUGAAUGUGGGCGGCACUACCCCUAGACUGAAUAAGAUAUUCAAGGAAGGAUGGAAGGAAGGAAGGAAGGGAAGGGGAAGGGAAGAAGGGAAGGGAAGAAGAGAAGGGAAGAAGGGAAGGGAAGAAGGGAAGGGAAGAAGGGAAGGGAAG
Molecule: long non-coding RNA, 4764 nt
Filed under: Mus musculus (house mouse)
Lineage: Eukaryota; Metazoa; Chordata; Mammalia; Rodentia; Muridae
Description: long non-coding RNA chr1:127270521-127275285
Source: RNAcentral